This 460-nucleotide ribosomal RNA is filed under the name uncultured bacterium. Its description in RNAcentral is "partial 16S ribosomal RNA". It matches the Rfam family "Bacterial small subunit ribosomal RNA", at positions 338 to 795 of the family's 1533-position model. The record is from RNAcentral.
CCUACGGGUGGCAGCAGUGAGGAAUAUUGGUCAAUGGACGAGAGUCUGAACCAGCCAAGUAGCGUGAAGGAUGACUGCCCUAUGGGUUGUAAACUUCUUUUAUAUGGGAAUAAAAUGUGCCACGUGUGGGAUUUUGUAUGUACCAUAUGAAUAAGGAUCGGCUAACUCCGUGCCAGCAGCCGCGGUAAUACGGAGGAUCCGAGCGUUAUCCGGUUUUAUUGGGUUUAAAGGGAGCGUAGGUGGAUGGUUAAGUCAGUUGUGAAAGUUUGCGGCUCAACCGUAAAAUUGCAGUUGAAACUGGCAGUCUUGAGUACAGUAGAGGUAGGCGGAAUGCGUGGUGUAGCGGUGAAAUGCUUAGAUAUCACGAAGAACUCCGAUUGCGAAGGCAGUUCACUGGACUGCAACUGACACUGAGGCUCGAAAGUGUGGGUAUCAAACAGGAUUAGAUACCCCAGUAGUC